UUCAACUUCAUCAUCUAUUAAACGCUGUUCAAAAAAUAAGGCACAGGCAUAAAUAAUAAGACUAGUUAAAAACUUAAGAUGUAAAAAUCCAGCAGCACGUCAUCACAAAGUAUACCAUCAUCAUGAAAAAUACUAAUAAUUCUUCCUUUUUUUCCUUUUCACACAAGUGCUAGGGUGAAUGUCACUCAAGACAGGUGCAGCAUUGCCAUACAUAGCAGUGUCAAACAGGCUUAUAAUUUUUUCG
RNAcentral lists this unclassified non-coding RNA (244 nucleotides) under Hevea brasiliensis (rubber tree). Lineage: Eukaryota; Viridiplantae; Streptophyta; Magnoliopsida; Malpighiales; Euphorbiaceae. The record is from RNAcentral.